UCCCAAGGGUUGGGCUGUUCGCCCAUUAAAGCGGUACGCGAGCUGGGUUCAGAACGUCGUGAGACAGUUCGGUCCCUAUCCGUCGUGGGCGUAGGAAAUUUGAGAGGAGCUGUCCUUAGUACGAGAGGACCGGGAUGGACAUACCUCUGGUGUACCAGUUGUCGUGCCAACGGCAUAGCUGGGUAGCUAUGUGUGGACGGGAUAAGUGCUGAAAGCAUCUAAGCAUGAAGCCCCCCUCAAGAUGAGAUUUCCCAACUUCGGUUAUAAGAUCCCUCAAAGAUGAUGAGGUUAAUAGGUUCGAGGUGGAAGCAUGGUGACAUGUGGAGCUGACGAAUACUAAUCGAUCGAAGACUUAAUCAA
Molecule: ribosomal RNA, 360 nt
Filed under: Staphylococcus aureus
Lineage: Bacteria; Bacillati; Bacillota; Bacilli; Caryophanales; Staphylococcaceae
Description: partial 23S ribosomal RNA
Rfam family: Bacterial large subunit ribosomal RNA
Source: RNAcentral